Long non-coding RNA from Oreochromis niloticus (Nile tilapia), 546 nucleotides. RefSeq lists it as uncharacterized. Lineage: Eukaryota; Metazoa; Chordata; Actinopteri; Cichliformes; Cichlidae. The transcript has 4 exons. The record is from RefSeq and is a predicted model, not a curated record.
GAAAUUUGUUUAAAAAUUACGAGAAGAAAAAAGAUAAGAAAGAAAGAAACUCAGAAUGAGCAGAGCUGCUGUAACAGGCUGCCGCACGCGUGAGGGCGCCGGAAGCUACACCUGUAAAGCACUCUGAAGCUGGGAGCAAAGCAUGACCGCACCAUCUGUAUCAGAAAUGCAGGAGAAGCAGAAAGACAACAAGACAGGUUUUACUUCAAAACAUGUUUUCUAAGAGGGAAAUCAGCACCUGCAGGACUGGUGAUAUGUUCCCUGUCCACAGGAUACUCAUCCAGGCUUCAUUUACACUGUAGAUGAAAUGAUGGCGUCCCGCUGACUGAUGACUGGCUGCACGCUCUGGUUGGGGACAAAGUGAAGCCAGCAGAAUGAAGAACCAAUGGUGGCUGAAACUGAACCUUUUUAUGCCCACGUAUGUUUGAUUAAAGAUGAUUAAAAGUGUUUGUAAUAAGUAGUGAUUUAUUUAUUCAUAUAAAUAUUCUACUUGUAGUUGUAAGAUAAGUAAUUUAUCAACUAAUUAUAGAAAACACAAACCUUAUC